UUGACGGGGAGCACCACGAACGGGUGGAGCUUGUCGGUUUAAUUGGAUUCAACGCCGGAAUCUUACCGGGACGACAGCAAUAUGAAGGCCAGGCUGAAGACUUUGCCGGAUUAGCUGAGAGGUGGUGCAUGGCCGUCGUCAGUUCGUACUGUGAAGCAUCCUGUUAAGUCAGGCAACGAGCGAGACCCACGCCCACAGUUGCCAGCGUACUCUCUGGAGUGACGGGUACACUGUGGGGACCGCCGCUGCUAAAGCGGAGGAAGGAAUGGGCAACGGUAGGUCAGUAUGCCCCGAAUAUCCCGGGCUACACGCGAGCUACAAUGGUUGGUACAAUGGGUAUCUACCCCGAAAGGGGACGGGAAUCUCCUAAAACCAAUCUUAGUUCGGAUUGAGGGCUGCAACUCGCCCUCAUGAAGCUGGAAUCCGUAGUAAUCGCGUUUCAACAGAACGCGGUGAAUACGUCCCUGCUCCUU
This 473-nucleotide ribosomal RNA is filed under the name uncultured Methanosaeta sp. RNAcentral describes it as "bacterial SSU rRNA". It matches the Rfam family "Archaeal small subunit ribosomal RNA", at positions 871 to 1337 of the family's 1478-position model. The record is from RNAcentral. Lineage: Archaea; Methanobacteriati; Methanobacteriota; Methanomicrobia; Methanotrichales; Methanotrichaceae.